This is a long non-coding RNA of Ictalurus punctatus (channel catfish), 300 nucleotides long. The record is from Ensembl. NCBI's taxonomy places the organism in Eukaryota, Metazoa, Chordata, Actinopteri, Siluriformes, Ictaluridae.
CAACAAGUACAAUAAUAAUAAUUCAUAAAAAUGAUCAAUUAUACGAUACUGAAACUGUAAACUGUUCGUUUUCACAUCUCCUGAAUCUCCUGAUCUUCUAGGUGUACAGUGACAGCAAAUCCUGUAGAAACCAGAGCUGAAGACAUGCAUGAUUAAACCAAAUGAAUAUGAGCAUUGUGGAAGGAGCCAAACCGAAACAUGGUACGUUAUCAUCUGGCCUGGAAUGAAUGUCUCGACUGCUAAAAGUUCACCAAGCCUUGUUGGGUUUUUACCAAGCUGUCUCACAGUGCAAGAAGCAGG